GACGAACGCUGGCGGCGCGCUUAACACAUGCAAGUCGAACGGAAAGGCCUGCUUUCCCUUGUGGAUUGCGGGUACUCGAGUGGCGAACGGGUGAGUAACACGUGAGUGAUCUGCCCCCAACUUGGGUAUAAGCCUGGGAAACUGGGUCUAAUUCCCGAUAGGACUGCAGGGUGGUGCCUGUGGUGGAAAACGAUUUUCUAGUGUUUGGGGAUGAGCUCGCGGCCUAUCAGCUUGUUGGUGGGGUAAUGGCCUACCAAGGCGGCGACGGGUAGCCGGCCUGGGAGGGUGGACGGCCACAUUGGGACUGAGAUACGGCCCAGACUCCUACGGGAGGCAGCAGUGGGGAAUAUUGCACAAUGGGCGGAAGCCUGAUGCAGCGACGCCGCGUGGGGGAUGACGGCCUUCGGGUGGUAAACUCCUUUCGACCGAGAGGAAGCCACCUGGUUGGAAGGGUGGUGACGGUAGUGGUAGAAGAAGCACCGGCUAACUACGUG
This 494-nucleotide ribosomal RNA is filed under the name uncultured bacterium. Its description in RNAcentral is "partial 16S ribosomal RNA". It matches the Rfam family "Bacterial small subunit ribosomal RNA", at positions 28 to 507 of the family's 1533-position model. The record is from RNAcentral.